This is a long non-coding RNA of Panicum virgatum (switchgrass), 833 nucleotides long. RefSeq lists it as uncharacterized. The record is from RefSeq and is a predicted model, not a curated record. The transcript has 2 exons. Lineage: Eukaryota; Viridiplantae; Streptophyta; Magnoliopsida; Poales; Poaceae.
CAAACACGCACACACACCAAACGGCCAUAAGUAGAAGUGGACACCCCCGCACACCCUCCCCCCCCUCCACAGCACCAUUCCACGAAUGCUGGCAGCACAGUGGAACUAUUUUGCACGAGCGACACAGGGGUCAACUCCGCAGUAGGUUUGCUAGAGCUCGCCCAAAUCCAGGGAGCCGACGGUAAAAAGAAGAAAAGAUUUCAAAAGAGACAGGGGAAGGUGUGGUACGUGGUGUUCCGGGGGAGAAAUCCUGGUGUGUACCGUGAAUGGCAGGAUUGCAAUGAUCAGGUUUGUGGAUUCCCCAACUGUUCUUUUCGCAUCUACCCUUCAAGGGACGAAGCAAUGGCGGCGUACCUAGCGUACUUCAAGAAGCAAGAAAGUGCAGGGAGUGGGAGCCAGGUCGGCGCAUACAACGACGAGAUCUACCCGGUGGUGCAAGUUGUUCCCCCUGCAGCAGUACCUUUACAGGCAGGAGAGAAUGAGGCUGACAGCCCCCCUGCAGCAGCGGAUCCAGACAUUGGCCCCGUUCUGGUGAUUCUUAUUGCUUUGUUCCUGGUGGUGGUUGCAUACUUCCUGAACUAGAAGAAGUGUAGCACGAGUGCGUGCAACCUGUAUCAUUUUGGAAAGUCUGCAUGCGGAAGGAUUAGCAUUGUCUCCAGUACGCAUAAUCGAUGCAUGGUAGCAUGAACCUCGUGUUCUAGGCCAAGAAUUAAGUUGUAGAAGGUUGUGCAAGUGUAGAAUUAAGUUGUAAGGUGGUGUAAGUGUAGCGUACAGCUACUGCUUGUAGUGGAGCAACUAAAGUACUUCAAAGAAAAUGUUCUGAUGCUCCAUAA